RNAcentral lists this non-coding RNA (24 nucleotides) under Arabidopsis thaliana (thale cress). Lineage: Eukaryota; Viridiplantae; Streptophyta; Magnoliopsida; Brassicales; Brassicaceae. The record is from RNAcentral.
AGCCAGAUGCGAUAGUUCCCAUGG